This 695-nucleotide ribosomal RNA is filed under the name uncultured bacterium. RNAcentral describes it as "bacterial SSU rRNA". It matches the Rfam family "Bacterial small subunit ribosomal RNA", at positions 220 to 916 of the family's 1533-position model. The record is from RNAcentral.
UUUGGAUGGGCAUGCGUCUGAUUAGUUAGUUGGUAGUGUAAUGGACUACCAAGGCGAUGAUCAGUAGGGGAACUGAGAGGUUGAUCCCCCACACUGGCACUGAGAUACGGGCCAGACUCCUACGGGAGGCAGCAGUAGGGAAUAUUGGUCAAUGGAUGCAAGUCUGAACCAGCCAUGCCGCGUGCAGGAAGAAGGCCUUCUGGGUUGUAAACUGCUUUUGCCAGGGGAUAAAAUUCUCUUGCGAGGGAAAUUGAAGGUACCUGGUGAAUAAGCCACGGCUAACUACGUGCCAGCAGCCGCGGUAAUACGUAGGUGGCAAGCGUUGUCCGGGUUUAUUGGGUUUAAAGGGUGCGUAGGCGGCCCUGUAAGUCAGUGCUGAAAUAUCCCGGCUUAACCGGGGGGGUGGCAUUGAUACUGCAGGGCUUGAGUGAACUCGAAGUAGGCGGAAUUGACGGUGUAGCGGUGAAAUGCUUAGAUAUCGUCAAGAACACCGAUAGUGAAGACAGCUUACUAGGUUUCAACUGACGCUGAGGCACGAAAGUGUGGGGAUCAAACAGGAUUAGAUACCCUGGUAGUCCACACUGUAAACGUUGAUUACUCGCUGUUGGCGAUACACAGCCAGCGGCCAAGCGCAAGCGAUAAGUAAUCCACCUGGGGAGUACGCCGGCAACGGUGAAACUCAAAGGAAUUGACGG